UGCAAACAUUGUCUAGUGUAGCAUACGUGU
Molecule: non-coding RNA, 30 nt
Filed under: Mus musculus (house mouse)
Lineage: Eukaryota; Metazoa; Chordata; Mammalia; Rodentia; Muridae
Source: RNAcentral